CGACAGCUGUGUAUAUACAGUCACUGCACACGCGUAAAACUCCUUCAAACGUGGAGGUGUUGUGAAAUAUGCUAAACAGCUGCUACGCGUUAUUUGGUUGAGGCUCUACUGUCCGCGAGCGCUGCACUGUGGGUCCUUUUACUCAAGAUCAGACGCUUUGAGGAGAGAAAUCCUCAGCUCGUAUGGAAAUCUGUGAGCGUGGUCCCAGUUCAGACUGGAGCAGCUUAUAAAUCACCAGCACUGGAGUUCCACGUGGACAGGACAACUCUGCAUCCAGGAUUCCAAACAGGCUGCGUCAGUGAAACUAUAGCGCUGCAAUUUGGAAAAACGCAGCAGAUGAAAGGAGAACGACGUUUUUACACGCCGCCGAGACUGUUUGCACGUUUUGCUAAAGCACCGACGUCUGGGUGUGUAAUUACACACUAAAAGCUGUUUUCUGUUUUUUUGUUUUUUUUCUUGAGGAAGUAUGUGUCGCUGCACGAACAUUAAACUUGCCUGUAAAUGGGCACAUGAUUGCACCAGGCACUCCCUUCUCAGACAAAACAUGGAGGAGGAGAUGAGGCAACGGUUUUUAUCCAGUGCGUUCCUGUACAAGGUUUAACAACUCACAAGUUAUUUACUUUCUCUGAGCUUUUAAAGCUUUAAAACUAUAAUGAUAGUUUCUCUUAAUUUAGUAAAAUAUAACAUUAAAGAUUAAACUAAAAAAACAACCUCAAAUAAGACUAACAAUUACAUAAAAAAACAUCAUAUUACAUUAAAUAACUUGUAUAAUUAACUUAAAUUGUGUUUGUUCUUACUUAUUUACUGUAGUACAGUAACAGCUUUUAGUUUUCGCCAUUAAAACAAUUACCAUAGUAGGAUCCAUGUACUGUAUGUUUUCCUCCACUGGUUAAAACAAGCCACUGCUUGACUUCAACAACAAAUCAGAGGAGUCAGAAACAGAAGAACAUUACGAGUGGUGUAAAUGUAAACACAAAUAACAAAAUUGUUGACAACAACAAUGUUAUACUACAAUAUAAAUGGUAGUUUCUAAAGCCCCAGCAUUUGAUUUUCCAUAAAAAGCACCCUCUGAGGCCGUUUUUUCAUGAGUCAUCAGCAGAAGCCUGUGAGGGAAUGCUGGGUGUCCUCACGCUUGGCUGCAGAGGCCACGGCGCCUCUCCUGAGAACAGACAGGGCGUGAUUAGUUAAAUGCAGGACACCCCACGCAUUGUCCCAACAACACGGGGGACAUCUGGCAGCGGCCACGCAGCGGCCUGAAGGUCCCCGUCCUCUUUCUAGAGCACUGAGCUGUGCAGCAUUGAAGCACUGGCCGCACAUUCUCAUGCUAAUACUGCAAAGGCAGGAGCAGAUGUGAAACACUCGGUUCUGUUCUUGUUCACUUGUAAAGAAAUAAUCAUUAUUUUACUUUUUGUUGUUGGAUUUGUCA
RNAcentral lists this long non-coding RNA (1426 nucleotides) under Betta splendens (Siamese fighting fish). RNAcentral describes it as "lncRNA (ENSBSLG00000010937.1)". Lineage: Eukaryota; Metazoa; Chordata; Actinopteri; Anabantiformes; Osphronemidae. The record is from RNAcentral.